This 62-nucleotide microRNA precursor is filed under the name Petromyzon marinus (sea lamprey). Its description in RNAcentral is "Pma-Mir-196-o1_pre stem-loop". The record is from RNAcentral. Lineage: Eukaryota; Metazoa; Chordata; Hyperoartia; Petromyzontiformes; Petromyzontidae.
UAGGUAGUUUCAUGUUGUUGGGGUUUACGCUCCAGAUGUCCGACAGCAGAAAACUGCCCGGA